Molecule: long non-coding RNA, 351 nt
Organism: Branchiostoma belcheri (Belcher's lancelet)
Lineage: Eukaryota; Metazoa; Chordata; Leptocardii; Amphioxiformes; Branchiostomatidae
Exons: 4
Source: RefSeq, a predicted model, not a curated record
CUGUCUACAGCCUGUACAGAUGAGGCACAAUUCCAAAAUAUGAUAGUUUGGCUUGAGGACCAGAAGGUGCGACACUACAAAAUAGAAGACAGAGCAAAUCUACGUAACAUUCAGAGUGCAGACUGGCCAACAGCAUUCAAACAGUAUUUAGAGGAGCUAGCAUGUCCUGUUAACCAUGGAGACAAAAGUGCUGUGAUGGACUGGCUGCUGGGUUAUGCUGUGAGGCUGGAGUAUGGUGAUAAUGUGGAAAAGUACAGACAAGUGAAGGCAGCCAGUGUUCAAAAGACUCCCAUGCCAGCACCCAGCGCAGAUGUCCUGGGCAGCAUAGAUCGUAGGUGUUUUUGCCACUUU